This 468-nucleotide ribosomal RNA is filed under the name uncultured bacterium. RNAcentral's name for it is "partial 16S ribosomal RNA". It matches the Rfam family "Bacterial small subunit ribosomal RNA", at positions 28 to 507 of the family's 1533-position model. The record is from RNAcentral.
GACGAACGCUGGCGGCGUGCUUAACACAUGCAAGUCGAACGGAAAGGCCCUGCUUUUGUGGGGUGCUCGAGUGGCGAAAGGGUGAGUAACACGUGAGUAACCUGCCCUUGACUUUGGGAUAACUUCAGGAAACUGGGGCUAAUACCGGAUAGGAGCUCCUGCUGCAUGGUGGGGGUUGGAAAGUUUCGGCGGUUUGGGAUGGACUCGCGGCUUAUCAGCUUGUUGGUGGGGUAGUGGCUUACCAAGGCUUUGACGGGUAGCCGGCCUGAGAGGGUGACCGGCCACAUUGGGACUGAGAUACGGCCCAGACUCCUACGGGAGGCAGCAGUGGGGAAUAUUGCACAAUGGGCGGAAGCCUGAUGCAGCAACGCCGCGUGCGGGAUGACGGCCUUCGGGUUGUAAACCGCUUUCGCCUGUGACGAAGCGUGAGUGACGGUAAUGGGUAAAGAAGCACCGGCUAACUACGUG